AAUUUGCUAGAGAUAGCUUAGUGCCUUCGGGAACUCUGAGACAGGUGCUGCAUGGCUGUCGUCAGCUCGUGUUGUGAAAUGUUGGGUUAAGUCCCGCAACGAGCGCAACCCUUAUCCUUUGUUGCCAGCGAGUAAUGUCGGGAACUCAAAGGAGACUGCCGGUGAUAAACCGGAGGAAGGUGGGGAUGACGUCAAGUCAUCAUGGCCCUUACGAGUAGGGCUACACACGUGCUACAAUGGCAUAUACAAAGAGAAGCGAACUCGCGAGAGCAAGCGGACCUCAUAAAGUAUGUCGUAGUCCGGAUUGGAGUCUGCAACUCGACUCCAUGAAGUCGGAAUCGCUAGUAAUCGUAGAUCAGAAUGCUACGGUGAAUACGUUCCCGGGCCUU
Molecule: ribosomal RNA, 389 nt
Filed under: uncultured Enterobacteriaceae bacterium
Lineage: Bacteria; Pseudomonadati; Pseudomonadota; Gammaproteobacteria; Enterobacterales; Enterobacteriaceae
Description: bacterial SSU rRNA
Rfam family: Bacterial small subunit ribosomal RNA
Source: RNAcentral